This 486-nucleotide ribosomal RNA is filed under the name uncultured bacterium. RNAcentral's name for it is "partial 16S ribosomal RNA". It matches the Rfam family "Bacterial small subunit ribosomal RNA", at positions 28 to 507 of the family's 1533-position model. The record is from RNAcentral.
GACGAACGCUGGCGGCGUGCUUAACACAUGCAAGUCGAACGCUGAAGACCUGGCUUUUGUUGGGUUGGAUGAGUGGCGAACGGGUGAGUAACACGUGAGUAACCUGCCCUCUUCUUUGGGAUAACGCCCGGAAACGGGUGCUAAUACUGGAUAUUCACUGAUCUUCGCAUGGGGGUUGGUGGAAAGGUUUGUUCUGGUGGGGUAUGGGCUCACGGCCUAUCAGCUUGUUGGUGGGGUGAUGGCCUACCAAGGCUUUGACGGGUAGCCGGCCGGGGAGGGUGACCGGUGACAUUGGGACUGAGCUACGGCCCAGACUCCUACGGGAGGCAGCAGUGGGGGAUAUUGCACAAUGGGCGAAAGCCUGAUGCAGCGACGCCGCGUGAGGGAUGGAGGCCUUCGGGUUGUAAACCUCUUUCGCACAUGGUCAAGCCGCAACUGUGGGUUGUGGUGAGGGUAGUGGGUAAAGAAGCGCCGGCUAACUACGUG